Molecule: RNase P RNA, 329 nt
Filed under: uncultured Fretibacterium sp.
Lineage: Bacteria; Thermotogati; Synergistota; Synergistia; Synergistales; Aminobacteriaceae
Description: Bacterial RNase P class A
Rfam family: Bacterial RNase P class A
About the family: Ribonuclease P (RNase P) is a ubiquitous endoribonuclease, found in archaea, bacteria and eukarya as well as chloroplasts and mitochondria. Its best characterised activity is the generation of mature 5'-ends of tRNAs by cleaving the 5'-leader elements of precursor-tRNAs. Cellular RNase Ps are ribonucleoproteins.
Source: RNAcentral
GCAGCUCGGGUAGCCGCCGCGGCCUUCGGGCCGUGGAGGAAAGUCCGGGCUCCGCAGGGCAGGAUGCCGGGUAACGCCCGGUCGGCGCGAGCCGAAGGAAAGUGCCACAGAAAACAGACCGCCCCCUCGCCGGGGUAAGGGUGAAAAGGCGGGGUAAGAGCCCGCCGGAUACGGCGUAAGCCGUGUGCCUGGCAAACCCCAUCCGGAGCAAGACCGAAUAGGGGGGGAUGAGGCGGCCCGCCGACCCCCGGGUACGGUCGCUCGAGGGGCUCCGCGAGGGGUCUCCCAGAUAAAUGGUUACCGUAUACAGAACCCGGCUUAUGAGCUGC